Molecule: long non-coding RNA, 346 nt
Filed under: Carica papaya (papaya)
Lineage: Eukaryota; Viridiplantae; Streptophyta; Magnoliopsida; Brassicales; Caricaceae
Description: long non-coding RNA (CPAP_LNC005875)
Source: RNAcentral
UAGAACAGAUCCCUUCAGAGAUAAAAAACCUAACGAGAUACUUUAUGCAAUAUGCAUGUUAAUACAGAUACACUUCGGACCAUAUAGGCUUCAUUCCACUUUUCUCUUUUUCUUUUCUUUUAUACUUUUAUUUUUACCAUUUACAUAUUAUAUUUAUUACAUGCAAUUCAUCAAAUGUCUGCAAUUUACAUAGAAUGCUUGAAAAUAAGAAUAAUUCGACUGAUCUGAAUACAGUCAUGCAAAACAAGCCAAAUUACAAUCAUAUUAAAUUAGUUUAUCUAAAAAUACUCCUUAAGAAGUGGAAAAAAAUAAUAGAUUCCUUACCAAAACCUCCAUGUUUUAUCCU